This is a non-coding RNA of Punica granatum (pomegranate), 522 nucleotides long. The record is from RefSeq and is a predicted model, not a curated record. NCBI's taxonomy places the organism in Eukaryota, Viridiplantae, Streptophyta, Magnoliopsida, Myrtales, Lythraceae.
AGCUUGUGUUAAGGCUAUAUAUAUACAUUAUAUAUAUAUAUAUAUAUGUAAUGCUUUUAUAUCCAUCACCUCAAGAACAAGAGUUGCAAGGAAAGAAUGGCGAAGCCAUUGUUUAGCAGCAUUUGCCACAGAUUUAUCAUCAUCUUCAUCACCGCACUCUUCUACUUCCAGUUCCUCAUCCCCCUCGUAUCCGCGCGAUGUUCGCAUUUCUGUCUCCAUUACUACAUUAAAGGUGCUGUUGAUCCGGAUCACCCACGCAGAGAUGGGGCUGGCCACUGAUGGAGUGGAGGUGGAGGAGCCCUUUAAAGCCAAAAAAGAAGCAAUUAAUAAGCUAGGGGAGGAUUGGAUCAUCUUAUAAUUAAGCCAUAUGAUCUGAUUCUUUUGGCCCUUCGCUAGAAAAGUCAAUGAUGUAAAUAAAUUUGUUUCUCCGUAUUAUUCAGGGAAAAAAACAUUUGUUUCUUUUUAUUUUGUUUUCAUUUUGGUUGAAUACUACAACAUUCAUCAUUUCUCUUCAAGCAGAAA